GUCUUUUUAGUAUAAUUAGUAUAAAUGACUUCCAAUCAUUUGAUCUUGGUUAAAGUCUAAGAAAAGAUA
This 69-nucleotide transfer RNA is filed under the name Salamandra salamandra (fire salamander). RNAcentral describes it as "tRNA-Gly". It matches the Rfam family "tRNA". Rfam says of the family: Transfer RNA (tRNA) molecules are approximately 80 nucleotides in length. Their secondary structure includes four short double-helical elements and three loops (D, anti-codon, and T loops). Further hydrogen bonds mediate the characteristic L-shaped molecular structure. tRNAs have two regions of fundamental functional importance: the anti-codon, which is responsible for specific mRNA codon recognition, and the 3' end, to which the tRNAs corresponding amino acid is attached (by aminoacyl-tRNA synthetases). tRNAs cope with the degeneracy of the genetic code in two manners: having more than one tRNA (with a specific anti-codon) for a particular amino acid; and 'wobble' base-pairing, i.e. permitting non-standard base-pairing at the 3rd anti-codon position. Lineage: Eukaryota; Metazoa; Chordata; Amphibia; Caudata; Salamandridae. The record is from RNAcentral.